GAUGAACGCUGGCGGUAUGCUUAACACAUGCAAGUCGAACGGACUCUUCGGAGUUAGUGGCGGACGGGUGAGUAACGCGUGAGAAUCUGGCUUUGGGUUCGGGACAACCACUGGAAACGGUGGCUAAUACCGGAUGUGCCGAGAGGUAAAAGAGAAAUUGCCUGAAGAUGAGCUCGCGUCUGAUUAGCUAGUUGGUGAGGUAAAGGCUCACCAAGGCAGCGAUCAGUAGCUGGUCUGAGAGGAUGACCAGCCACACUGGGACUGAGACACGGCACAGACUCCUACGGGAGGCAGCAGUGGGGAAUUUUCCGCAAUGGGCGAAAGCCUGACGGAGCAAUACCGCGUGAGGGAAGAAGGCUCUUGGGUUGUAAACCUCUUUUCUUAGGGAAGAACAAAAUGACGGUACCUAAGGAAUCAGCAUCGGCUAACUCCGUG
Molecule: ribosomal RNA, 435 nt
Filed under: uncultured bacterium
Lineage: Bacteria
Description: partial 16S ribosomal RNA
Rfam family: Bacterial small subunit ribosomal RNA
Source: RNAcentral